AUUGAACGCUGGCGGCAGGCCUAACACAUGCAAGUCGAACGGUAACAGGAAGAAGCUUGCUUCUUUGCUGACGAGUGGCGGACGGGUGAGUAAUGUCUGGGAAACUGCCUGAUGGAGGGGGAUAACUACUGGAAACGGUAGCUAAUACCGCAUAACGUCGCAAGACCAAAGAGGGGGACCUUCGGGCCUCCUGCCAUCGGAUGUGCCCAGAUGGGAUUAGCUAGUAGGUGGGGUAACGGCUCACCUAGGCGACGAUCCCUAGCUGGUCUGAGAGGAUGACCAGCCACACUGGAACUGAGACACGGUCCAGACUCCUACGGGAGGCAGCAGUGGGGAAUAUUGCACAAUGGGCGCAAGCCUGAUGCAGCCAUGCCGCGUGUAUGAAGAAGGCCUUCGGGUUGUAAAGUACUUUCAGCGGGGAGGAAGGGAGUAAAGUUAAUACCUUUGCUCAUUGACGUUACCCGCAGAAGAAGCACCGGCUAACCCCGUG
Molecule: ribosomal RNA, 490 nt
Filed under: uncultured bacterium
Lineage: Bacteria
Description: partial 16S ribosomal RNA
Rfam family: Bacterial small subunit ribosomal RNA
Source: RNAcentral